Molecule: ribosomal RNA, 460 nt
Filed under: uncultured bacterium
Lineage: Bacteria
Description: partial 16S ribosomal RNA
Rfam family: Bacterial small subunit ribosomal RNA
Source: RNAcentral
CCUACGGGUGGCAGCAGUGAGGAAUAUUGGUCAAUGGACGAAAGUCUGAACCAGCCAAGUAGCGUGCAGGAUGACGGCCCUACGGGUUGUAAACUGCUUUUAUACGGGAAUAACGCGCCUUACGUGUAGGUCUUUGCAUGUACCGUAUGAAUAAGGACGGGCUAAUUCCGUGCCAGCAGCCGCGGUAAUACGGAAGGUCCGGGCGUUAUCCGGAUUUAUUGGGUUUAAAGGGAGCGUAGGCCGCAUGUCAAGCGUGCUGUGAAAUGUCCGGGCUCAACCCGGGACUUGCAGCGCGAACUGGCGUGCUUGAGUCCGCGGAAAGCAGGCGGAAUUCGUCGUGUAGCGGUGAAAUGCUUAGAUAUGACGAAGAACCCCGAUUGCGAAGGCAGCUUGCUGCAGCGGAACUGACGCUGAUGCUCGAAAGCGCGGGUAUCGAACAGGAUUAGAUACCCGAGUAGUC